This 207-nucleotide long non-coding RNA is filed under the name Elaeis guineensis (African oil palm). RNAcentral describes it as "long non-coding RNA (EGUI_LNC002602)". Lineage: Eukaryota; Viridiplantae; Streptophyta; Magnoliopsida; Arecales; Arecaceae. The record is from RNAcentral.
UACUUGAUUCAGGUCGGGGUUGGGUUUAGGUUAGGGUUAGGGUUAAGGGCUAAGGUUUGGUCAGUGGUAGGGUUGAGUUAGGGUUAGGGUUAGGGUUAGAGUUAAGGGUUAGGGUUAGGGUUAAGGUUAAGGAUUAUGGUUCGGAUAAUGUUAGAUUUAAGGGUCAAGGGUCAGAUUAGGAUUAGGGUUCAUGGCUAGGGUUAGGUU